UGAUCUCAGAAAUGGCAGCGGUCAUGCUAGUAGGACUGCUUAGUCUUUUUGAUAUUUAGUUCCAUAUCCAACAGGUGCAAAUACAAAAUGCUGUUUGGCAUUCAAAGACCUUCAUAAUCCAGCCAUCUCCUACAUUUCUGCAGGCCAAUUCAAUCCUGAAUGCUGUGAGUUUCCUGUUUCAGUAGUUACAGAUGGUACAUGUACCCAAGAUGGCUUUAUGGACUUUGAGGUCUACAGCCACCAAACUUGGCCAGCCUUGAACCUGGAAACGCUUCAGGUAAGAGAAGAGACCCUGUCUGCCAGCUGGCCUUUAAAGAGUCAUCUUGGGAGCUGGUUGUAUUUCAUGUACCUCUGAAUGGGUGCAGGAC
This 368-nucleotide long non-coding RNA is filed under the name Monodelphis domestica (gray short-tailed opossum). RNAcentral describes it as "lncRNA (ENSMODG00000049722.1)". The record is from RNAcentral. Lineage: Eukaryota; Metazoa; Chordata; Mammalia; Didelphimorphia; Didelphidae.